GAAAGGAAAUUUUAUCGAGUAUGCGGAGGCUGAAGUGAAACUAAGGUUUAUCCCCCUGAAAGAGGGACAUCAAUCUCUUCCCAAAUUUAGACUUACGAUGAAGAAGACAGAGAAUACGAUGGAAAAGGGAUUUUCGAAAAAAUGCAUGGGGAGCAGUCAGAGCGA
This 165-nucleotide non-coding RNA is filed under the name Bigelowiella natans. Lineage: Eukaryota; Cercozoa; Chlorarachniophyceae. The record is from RNAcentral.